This 387-nucleotide unclassified non-coding RNA is filed under the name soil metagenome. RNAcentral describes it as "partial contains 5.8S ribosomal RNA, internal transcribed spacer 2, and large subunit ribosomal RNA". The stretch from base 1 to 120 matches the Rfam family "5.8S ribosomal RNA", at positions 35 to 154 of the family's 154-position model. The record is from RNAcentral.
GAUGAAGAACGCAGCGAAAUGCGAUAAGUAAUGUGAAUUGCAGAAUUCAGUGAAUCAUCGAAUCUUUGAACGCACAUUGCGCCCAUUAGUAUUCUAGUGGGCAUGCCUGUUCGAGCGUCAUUAAUUCCACUUAAGCCCUGCUUAGUGUUGGGAAUCUACUCUAGUUGUGCUACCCUGGAGCUACCCCUGAAAGGGGGCUGGCCCGGUAGCUACCCUGUAGUUCCUCAAAGAUAGUGCGCGGAGUUGCGUGGUCCUCUGAGCUUAGUAACUAUACACCUAGCUUUUGAGUGUCCCGCGGCGCCUGCCGUUUAAACCCCAUCUUUUAAUGGUUGACCUCGGAUCAGGUAGGAAUACCCGCUGAACUUAAGCAUAUCAAUAAGCGGAGGA